Exaiptasia diaphana is the source of this 226-nucleotide long non-coding RNA. RefSeq lists it as uncharacterized. The transcript has 3 exons. The record is from RefSeq and is a predicted model, not a curated record. NCBI's taxonomy places the organism in Eukaryota, Metazoa, Cnidaria, Anthozoa, Actiniaria, Aiptasiidae.
CUUUUAAUCAGAGAGAAGACGAUUUUACAACUACGAAAUACACUGAAAGACAAAGAAGAAUUCAUUAACCGUUCGACUACAAAGCUAAAACAGUACGAGGAAAAUAACUGGCUGGCAAGAAACGAUAAGAUUUAUGCUUCGGACGCAAGAGACAGUCAUCGGGUCAUCGCUGCUUUACGACAGCAAGUUAAAGAUUUGCAACAACAACACAGCGAACGAGAGGUUA